CAGCCGCCGCGGUAAUACAGAGGGUGCGAGCGUUAAUCGGAUUUACUGGGCGUAAAGCGUGCGUAGGCGGCUUUUUAAGUCGGAUGUGAAAUCCCUGAGCUUAACUUAGAAAUUGCAUUCGAUACUGGGAAGCUAGAGUAUGGGAGAGGAUGGUAGAAUUCCAGGUGUAGCGGUGAAAUGCGUAGAGAUCUGGAGGAAUACCGAUGGCGAAGGCAGCCAUCUGGCCUAAUACUGACGCUGAGGUACGAAAGCAUGGGGAGCAAACAGGAUUAGAUACCCCGGUAGUCCCUGUCUCUUAUAC
This 301-nucleotide ribosomal RNA is filed under the name uncultured bacterium. RNAcentral describes it as "partial 16S ribosomal RNA". It matches the Rfam family "Bacterial small subunit ribosomal RNA", at positions 509 to 807 of the family's 1533-position model. The record is from RNAcentral.